RNAcentral lists this ribosomal RNA (498 nucleotides) under uncultured bacterium. RNAcentral's name for it is "partial 16S ribosomal RNA". It matches the Rfam family "Bacterial small subunit ribosomal RNA", at positions 29 to 523 of the family's 1533-position model. The record is from RNAcentral.
AUUGAACGCUGGCGGCAUGCCUUACACAUGCAAGUCGAACGGUAACGCGGGGCAACCUGGCGACGAGUGGCGAACGGGUGAGUAAAGCAUCGGAACGUGCCCAGUAGUGGGGGAUAGCCCGGCGAAAGCCGGAUUAAUACCGCAUACGACCUACGGGUGAAAGGGGGGGAUCGCAAGACCUCUCGCUCUUGGAGCGGCCGAUGUCAGAUUAGGUAGUUGGUGGGGGAAAGGCCUACCAAGCCGACGAUCUGUAGCUGGUCUGAGAGGACGACCAGCCACACUGGGACUGAGACACGGUCCAGACUCCUACGGGAGGCAGCAGUGGGGAAUUUUGGACAAUGGGCGCAAGCCUGAUCCAGCAAUGCCGCGUGCAGGAUGAAGGCCUUCGGGUUGUAAACUGCUUUUGUACGGAACGAAACGGCCCUUUCUAAUACAGGGGGCUAAUGACGGUACCGUAAGAAUAAGCACCGGCUAACUACGUGCCAGCAGCCGCCGUAA